UUGACCUCGGAUCAGGUAGGGAUACCCGCUGAACUUAAGCAUAUCAAUAAGCGGAGGAAAAGAAACCAACAGGGAUUGCCCCAGUAACGGCGAGUGAAGCGGCAAGAGCUCAAAUUUGAAAGCUGGCUCCUUCGGGGUCCGCAUUGUAAUUUGUAGAGGAUGCUUCGGGAGCGGUCCCCAUCUAAGUGCCCUGGAACGGGACGUCAUAGAGGGUGAGAAUCCCGUAUGGGAUGGGGUGUCCGCGCCCGUGUGAAGCUCCUUCGACGAGUCGAGUUGUUUGGGAAUGCAGCUCUAAAUGGGUGGUAAAUUUCAUCUAAAGCUAAAUAUUGGCCGGAGACCGAUAGCGCACAAGUAGAGUGAUCGAAAGAUGAAAAGCACUUUGAAAAGAGAGUUAAAAAGCACGUGAAAUUGUUGAAAGGGAAGCGCUUGCGACCAGACUCGCUCGCGGGGUUCAGCCGGCAUUCGUGCCGGUGUACUUCCCCGCGGGCGGGCCAGCGUCGGUUUGGGCGGUCGGUCAAAGGCCCUCGGAAGGUAACGCCCCUAGGGGCGUCUUAUAGCCGAGGGUGCAAUGCGACCUGCCUAGACCGAGGAACGCGCUUCGGCUCGGACGCUGGCAUAAUGGUCGUAAACGACC
Molecule: ribosomal RNA, 634 nt
Filed under: Penicillium chrysogenum
Lineage: Eukaryota; Fungi; Ascomycota; Eurotiomycetes; Eurotiales; Aspergillaceae
Also listed under: 1 other name
Description: eukaryotic LSU rRNA
Rfam family: Eukaryotic large subunit ribosomal RNA
Source: RNAcentral